This is a long non-coding RNA of Medicago truncatula (barrel medic), 2437 nucleotides long. RefSeq lists it as uncharacterized. The transcript has 2 exons. The record is from RefSeq and is a predicted model, not a curated record. NCBI's taxonomy places the organism in Eukaryota, Viridiplantae, Streptophyta, Magnoliopsida, Fabales, Fabaceae.
UUUUUUUUUAUCAAAACAAUUGCUUUCAGAUAAUCUUUAUUUCAACAUUUUAUUUAUUUCGUGGUUCACUACAUACCGAAAGAAGAUUGAAAACAUCAUCUGAGAACAUCUGUGGUGCCGGCUAUUCGAAGAGAUGGAAAUAAAAGACGGUUUACUGUGUGGAAUCUGUUAACACGACUUUGAGAAGCCAUCUGUGAUUGAACAACGUGUGUAUACCUCCAAGUUGUUUCAUCUUUUUUCCAGUUUGACGAUGAUGAUUGUGUGGUUCUCGAUGGUGAUCAAUAAAAUCAAGUUAAAUGUGUGAAUAAUUUUCCAUCUAAGUCUGAUGAGUUGUGUGUAGAUGGUGAUAAAGGAAAGGUAUUUUCUAUAAUUUCAUUCUCUUGCUAUUUAAGAAAAAAUGUUUAUAAUUUUUUUAGUUGAUCGGAUAAACAAUUGGAUGAUAAUAAGUUGAUGUUGAAUUUCUGGAUUAUGAUAAGAGUUUUUUCAUGGUAAAAUCGAUUUUUAUAACUCUAUGCAGAAAAACAUUUUGAAUUCUACUUCUCUUCAUUCAAAUAUGAAUCCUUUAGGCAUUUUAUUUUGUUGUUAGGUAAGUUGUAACGAGCCUUUUAGCUAUCUGGCAUGAGUAAUUGAUAUUUUUAUACUUAAGAUUGUUAUACUGCUUUCGAUUUCCAGCAUGGCCAAGGAAAGGUAACAAGGUUCUGCCUCAUUUUUUAUGUUAUGAAUUCUGAUGCUUUUAUCCAUGGCCUUCAAUCUAGAUGUAGCACAACCAAAAGCUGGAUAUUUAAUAUGAAAAUAAUGUGCAGUCUUGGCUAAAAAAAAAAGGUAUAUUCUAGAUUUGAUUUCUGAUUAGGGAUUGAAUAUGCAGUCAUGGUUUCAAGACAACAUUGAUAUUAUUAUUAUUGUAGAUGAAGUAUUUUGGUAUGAUUGAGGUUAUUAUUUUGCAGAAACCCGUUGACAGUUAUGACAUAGGCUUUGAGGUGCUUAGAUUUGAUUGAAGUUAUUAUUUUUCAGUUGUAAAAGUCAUGAACAAAAAUCAAUACCUUAAUCUAUUUUUAUGGAGGAUGUUUUCUCGCUGAUUCCGAUGGCUGUGCUCUGUAACCUCGCUGCAAUUGAAACAAGAAGCGCACAAAUUCUGCUCACAAGGUUUUGUUCUUGGGUUUUCCAAUUUGAGGUUUCCCCUUUUCUGCAGAAACCAUAUAUAAGGAAACAAUCCUCUCAAUUUAUUCUUCAAUUUCGACCUCUAAUCCUUCCCGAUAAGGAAACAAUAAUACACCCGCAAUUGGAAUCGUUUCUGCACAACAUGCCAUAGAUAAUUUCCUCAUCUACCAGCACGACAUCAGCAUAUUUAAGUUGAACUAAAAGGAUGUGUAUUGGCAGUCAAGUGCUUCACCUCAAGGUAUAUGUUCUUAACAAAACUUCUAGGACUUUUCUUUUAGUUUUUUUUUUUUUAAUUUGGAUUAACAAAUUUGGAUGUUUAUGUGCAGAAGCUUUUUCAACAUAUUUACUUAGAUUUCAAUGUUGAAUUUUAUAUUAAGAGAAAAUCUUACUUUCUUUGGUUGUAUUUUAACUAAAUAUUGAGCUCCCUAUAAUUUUUCUAUCUUAUUGUGUGGAUUUUCAAAUGUUUGUGUGAUUGAUACUGAUGGUAGAAGUUUUCCAUAUUUGUGUGCUUGAGACUCAUUGUUAAAUUACUCUGAAAAAUUUAAACGAAAAAUAUGUUUUUAUCUAAAUGUGAAAUAAAAUUUACAAUGUAAAGUUGUUGGAAAAAGCAAUGAAUCAAAUAGAGCAAAGUUAGUAUCCAAAAACGAUUUGAAACUCUUCUUUUGUAUUAUUUAUUUUAAGCAACUUUUAGAGCUUAUAUUUGAUUAGUUAUGUGCUCUCAAUACUGUUAUCAUUUGGUUAUCGAUGAUGAUUGUCUUCUGCAUUUGUGUAUCUUUCUCAAGAGAUCAUUUAAAUUUUAAGUUUGAAUUGCUAAUUUGUUUCUGUGUGUGUAAUUUAAAGUACAAUGUUUGUGAGUUGGAUUGCUAACUAUAAUUUUAUUCAUCUUAGUAAAUGUAACUUGAGAAAGGUAUGAUGCUCCUUAAGACUCACACUGCUUGGUGUUUUAAGAGCUUAUAUAGAAAAAAGGUGUCGUUGAAGAGCUUAGAAAUGAAUGCAACUGAUAUAAGUUUCAAACACAUAUACAUGUAUUCUGAUACUAACCUUUUGUAAUUGAUUUUUCCCUUUUUAAAUUUGAUUGAGAUUUUAUUUUUGAGUAGGAAGAGCUGAAUAAUGUCUGCACAUUUCAUGAUUCCUAGCUAAAAGGUUCAUUUGAUGAUCUCUUCACUAAUCCUUUAUUGUUUACUCAGUUUAUUAUGUUUUACUAUGUCUUUGUUCUACUAUCCUUUAUUAUGUUGUAAAACAUAUCAAAUUGAUGAUGGUGUUGAGUUCGACCAAUAUA